RNAcentral lists this ribosomal RNA (266 nucleotides) under uncultured soil bacterium. Its description in RNAcentral is "partial 16S ribosomal RNA". It matches the Rfam family "Bacterial small subunit ribosomal RNA", at positions 26 to 283 of the family's 1533-position model. The record is from RNAcentral.
AGAAUCAACGCUGGCGGCGUGCCUCAGACAUGCAAGUCGAACGCGAAAGUCUCCUUCGGGGACAAGUAGAGUGGCGCACGGGUGAGUAACACGUAGGUAAUCUACCUUUGGAUGGGGAAUAACAACCGGAAACGGUUGCUAAUACCGCAUAAUGCAGCGGCACCUAAUGGUGACAGUUGUUAAAGCGGGGAUCGAAAGACCUCGCGUCUGAAGAGGAGCCUGCGCGAUAGCUAGUGGUAAGUAAUGGCUUACCAAGGCUACGAUCC